This 518-nucleotide ribosomal RNA is filed under the name uncultured bacterium. Its description in RNAcentral is "partial 16S ribosomal RNA". It matches the Rfam family "Bacterial small subunit ribosomal RNA", at positions 29 to 523 of the family's 1533-position model. The record is from RNAcentral.
AACGAACGCUGGCGGCGUGCCUAACACAUGCAAGUCGAACGGAAUGAGGGGGCUUGCUCCUUCAUUUAGUGGCGCACGGGUGAGUAACGCGUAGAUAAUCUGCCUGAUGAUCUGGGAUAACAUCUCGAAAGGGGUGCUAAUACCGGAUAAGCCCACGGGGACUUUGGUCUUUGCGGGAAAAGGGGGGGACCUUUUGGCCUUCUGUCAUCAGAUGAGUCUGCGUACGAUUAGCUAGUUGGUAGGGUAAAGGCCUACCAAGGCUACGAUGGUUAGCUGGUGUGAGAGAAUGAUCAGGCACACUGGAACUUAGACAAGGUCCAGACUCCUACGGGAGGGAGCAGUGGGGAAUUUUGCGCAAUGGGCGAAAGCCUGACGCAGCAACGCCGCGUGAGUGAUGAAGGCUUUCGGGUCGUAAAGCUCUGUCAGGGGGAAAGAAGUGUAUUGUGGCUAAUAUCCACGAUACUUGACGGUACCCCCAAAGGAAGCACCGGCUAACUCCGUGCCAGCCGCCGCAGUAA